CUUGAGAUCUUUCGUUUCUUUGAUAUUUUGGUCUGCAGAUUCACAGGGCUCCUCCAUGGCCUAGCCCGAAAAAGAGCACAAUUCCAGCAACAGAGUUUCAGAUGUUUCGCCUUCGGACAUCAGCGUGAGUUAUGCAACAGACAUACGAUCACCAUGUAACAAAUGGACCUGAUUCUAGUUAUUUAUCAGAAAAUGAAACUACAGAGAUCUAAGGGAAUUAAAGUUUGCAAUCGACAAGAGAUGCCUAAAGGAACCACCAGCAGAUUCAUUUAGUAAGCUCUCCUUUGGAUCCGAAGAACAGUAUAAUACAAAACCUCAGUCAAAAAGUGCCUUUGCCUGGUAAGAUUAAUCAUUAAUCUCUCUUCGUAACGUGAUUAGUGAAACGCCUAAGAGACCAAGCUCCGAAUUUGUUAUAUUAAUACAAGAUUGAUUGCUCCCACUAAUUGAAAUAAGGCCACAAAAGUGAACAGACCAAAGCUCCUUUCAGCAAGAUCAUGAGGUAAAUUAUAAGUUUAUAUCACUUUGUAUUUUGAGGGCGAUCUUUGGCGCAACUGAAAAGUUGCUCCAUAUCGAAAAGUCGCAAGUUUGAGUCGUGAAAAUAGUUUUCUUGUAAAACAAGAGUAAGACUGCGUACGGUAGACGUUCUCCUCCCAACCCUCACAAAGUAGAAAGAUUUAUUGGGUUGGGGUCGCUCUUUUUAUAUCAUCUAGUAUUUUCUUUGUGGCGUAUUAAUUUUGUUGACGAAGUAAUCUAACUAAAUUGAAUUCUUUUUAAUACAUAGGGCUCAUAGUCUCGUAGCAUUAUAUGGUUAACAAACGAGCUUCAAAACGAUGAAAAUGACAGGAUGUCACGAAAGAAAAAUAGGUGGUUAAGUGGGAAGCAGAUAUAUCAUUGUUUGAGUAAAAGAAGUGGAUUCCUCGAUUAGAAAACAGCCGGUGAAAAUCUAGCAUGAUUUUAAAGCUGGUUAACUUAUAUUGUGGUGCUACAGUUCGAAAUGAACCUACAAGUUGACUUUUGUUUGGGAAUUAUGAAACGAGAAAAAGGAAAAACAAGAAAUUUGAAUACCUACAAAUCUCAAUGCACACAAUAGAGCCAGGAGGGCAUGAACAUGGGCUAUACAGUGCAAAAACUAAGGUACCAAUUUUCGCACUUUCGAUUUAGUUUUAGGUCUUUC
Long non-coding RNA from Malus domestica (apple), 1174 nucleotides. RefSeq lists it as uncharacterized. NCBI's taxonomy places the organism in Eukaryota, Viridiplantae, Streptophyta, Magnoliopsida, Rosales, Rosaceae. The record is from RefSeq and is a predicted model, not a curated record.